ACUUAAGAACUAUGACCUUGUUUCCUUUUGAAAAUGAAGGUGAUUUUAUGAGGUACAUUGUUCAAGUUUGAGAAGAGGGAAGUACUGAUAAAAUUAAACCCAAAGGUCACAGACUUUAAAAAGAAUAACCAAAUCUAAUUUGUGAGAAAUCAUGUCUUCAAGGAAGUAGGAGAUAACAUUGAUGGCAGUAUUGGAGGAGUAAAAGUCAGUUCAUCAAAUCUGAAGAAAACGUAUUUUAAGAUAAGAGAUUGCUGAGCCAGGUUGCAUUUCCAGCAGAGUGGACACAGCCUUGCUCGCAUUUGUUAUUUCCUAAUGACUGCCAUUCUGACUGGGGUAAGGGGGCAUCUCAGGGUAGUUUUAUUUUGCAUUUCUCUGAUGCUGUUGAUUAGUGUCAGUGGCUAAUUUGCUGAAGGUUCUUUGAGUGGUUUUACAAAAUAGAUAAAGAAUAAAAUCCAGAAUGACCUUUGCAUGGUUAAACUGAUGCUUUUCUCUGAGCACACACUAAAUUGGCUUUACUAAAAUCUAAAACUAGGGAGCAGACAUUAAAACAAGCUUGGUGGGGUCUGGCACUGUAGCUCAGUUAGAGAGCUUUUGCCUGGUAUGCAGGGAGAUUUGUAGUCAAUCCCCAUCACCCCAUAAACCAUGGGUUAUGGCACACGCCUUUCAUCCCAUUAGCACUCAAGAAUUUGAGGCAGUAGGAUCAGAGGUUCAGUUCCAUCACAGAAAGAGAGAGAGAGAGAGAGAGAGAGAGAGAGAGAGAGAGAGAGAAGCUUCAACUUGUAGAACUAUAGUUGAGAUGUUCCAUAAUGAUUCUGUGCAGAAUCCUUUCAUUUGCCUUGUCGUGCUUUAAGAGUAAUGUAAGCAUUGCAGUCUUCUAGAGAUAUUUAGGGUACAUAAAGAACAUGUACUUUAAAUUGUGGUUCUGCUGGGAAUGGAACUCAGGGCCUGACACAUGCUCAGCAUGUAAGUACCCUACCAUUGGGCAUUUGUCCCCUUAAUUAUCUGAUUUUCAUCCUUAUUUGUGAUUGGUUAUUUUAUUUUGAGACAAGGUCUUGCUAUAUAGCCACAUAUGACCUCAAAUGCAUGAUGCUCUUGCCUUAGCCUCCUGAAAACUGGUCUCGUUGCCAGCUGUGCAACUUUGAAGAACCCCUCGGAGCCUAAAGGGCUCCUGCUCAUGCCCCGGCAGCCUCAGAAGUAGCUGUGAUCUGGGGGUGGGGAAACCUUUUUUUAAAAACACAGGUUCUUUCUAUGUACCCCCCAACUGUUCUAGAAAUCACUGUGUAGGCAGGGCUGGCCUCAAACUUACAAUCCUCCUGGUAAACUUUCAAGUACUGGGACUGAUUUGGGGCCAUCAGAGCUAGUUAGUCAGCAGCUAAAUUUAGAUUGGGUGUGUGUGUGUAUACUGUUCUAGUUUUCUUUUUUUUUUUAUUCAAAGAAUUCUGCCUUUAAAGAGGAGACUUACUGGGUACAUUGUGCGAGCUGUCAGAUAGAUAAUCGACAUUUAUCAAGGCUAGGUUGGUGACUCAUGCUUAUAGUCCUAGUGCUUGGGAGACUGGAGCAGGAUGAUUUCUAUAAAUUCUAGGUUACUCUGGGCUAUCCCAGGCUAGUAUCAGCUACUGCAUGAGAUCCCAUCCCAGUGUAAAAAAAGGAAGAAGAAGGAAGGAGGAGGAGGAAGCAGCAGCAGAACCAAAGCAGUAAAACCAAAACCAUCAGGAAUGAAAGAGAUCCUUCCCUGUGCAUGGGUGACAGGGAGUUAACUAUGGUUCAUUAGUCAUUUAACAGUUUGUGGUGCUUCUCAGAGAGGCCACUCCACUCCUUCAGCAAGGCGCGUAGUUCAUUAUGUUGAAGAUCAUGGGUGUCAGCCAGCAGGAUAUUUAAACCAGAACCAGGAGAAUGAGGUGGCCCUUUCUCGUUUCUUGUAUUCUAACUGUGUAUUGUGCCUCGAGCCGAUAGGCGUGUGCCACAACAUUGGCAUUUUCACCUCUGACUUAAAUGUAGUAUGAACACCUUACCCAAGAGAUUGUUCUGCUCCCUUAAAGUAUCAUUCUUGACUGGGCAGGUGACACUCAGGAAGUAGAAACAAAUGGAGCCUGUGAGUUCCAGGCCAGCCAGGGGUACAUAGUGAGACUCUAUCCCUAAAAUAAAUAAGAUAAUUGUUUAAUUAAGCAAACAGCUUUCCAAAAACAACAAGCAACACACAAACACACACACACACACACACACACACACACACACACACUCCCAGAAGUCAGAAACAUCUGCACGGUGCAGGUUUCUGUCAGCAGGUGGCAGUCUUGUCCUGCGGUAGAUGCUGCUGUCCAGUGUAGCUGCACUCCAUGUGUGCUGCUAGAGAUUGAACCAGACACUUGCUAAUGAGGCAAGAGCUGCGUGCUGAGCUCCUCUCUGACCCUGUGUUUGUACUUUAGUCUUUCUCUUAGUAUAUAUUCAUUGUCUUUAGGUCAUGUACUCCUUUUUUAAGUCGGGAUUUCACGGAUUUCACUAUGUAACCUGGCCUUGUACUCACAGACAUCUGCCUGCUUCUGCCUCCUGGGUGCUGGGGCUAAAGGUGUGAGCCGCCAUGGCUGGCAGGUCAUGUCCUCUUAUUUCAGCCCUCAGAGUUACUUUGACCACUAAGCUGUGUGACAACAGUUAUGACAGACUUCAUUGUCUCUCUGUCAUUUUGUGUACAUGCUGCCUGCCUUGUCUCCCUGUUUUAAUCUACUAGAAUAAGAAGGUACAAAUUGUCUUGCAGUUAAUGAGGAGUUGCUUAAUCUGUUUGGUAAGUUCCUUCUUCAAGAAGGAAGGAGAUAGUGUGGCCUGAAAAGUUCCCUGUACUCCUGUCUGUCUCCUCUGCCAUGUCACACACCACAGCACCUCAUUUAUGUUGCCCUCCAUGCCCUUCUGCUUGGGGAUUUCUGUUGGAGACAGCAUGAAAAAGAACCCCACAGUCAAAGCCAGCUGUGGUAAUAUGCCCACCUGUAGUUCAGGCUGCUUGAGAGUCAAAGACCCAGGAUCUCAUGAACCAGUGCAUUUGAGAACACAAUAAAUGCCAAAAUAAUAAUAGAAUCAUAUUUUUAAAAAUGUGUAUGAGUAUUAUUUAUGCAUAUGAGUGUUUUGCCAAAACACUGUGUGCCUGGUGCCUAGGGAGGUAAGAAGAGUAUCAGAUCCCUUGAAACUGGAGUUCUAGAUGCUUAUAAGCUGCUGUGUGAGGCGGGGAACAGAACCCAGGACCUCUGCUACAGCAGCCGGUACUCUGCAGCACUGGGCCAGUGUUCCAGCCUUCAAAUCACCAUAUUCUUAUAUGCAGCUUCCCCGGGAGCAGCGAUCUGUUAGUACAUCUGCCAAGGUCUGUCUUGUCAAACUGUUAGAGUGCUAAAAGAACAGAUGAGUCACUAGAUGGAUUCUUGGAGAAGCAGGUAGGAGCCAGCUGAGAACUUCUAAGCCUUGUAGCAUGCUGAAAUGUAAAACUGAAACUUCCUGACAUUAGUUAGCGUUAGGGAGGAAAAAAAAAAAAGACUAGUGUCAUGAAUGGUAUAGGGCAUGCCACAACCCCAGCACUUGGGAGGUUAAGGAAGGAGGAGGGUAAAUUCAAGGCCUGUGGCUACAUAGUGAAACCCUGUAUUUAAAAAGAAAAAAAAGAGAGAGUGAAAAGAAGCUGGAAAGACAAGGGAGCCUACAAUGCACUGGAACUAGAGAACUCUAGAAGGAGAAGCUAAAUCGCUUUGAAUUGAUAGCAUGCACUCGGGACCAAGUACAUGCUGCAUUAUCCGCCUAACUCGUAAAACAUCUAGCUCUAAUUAGUAGCACAACUGUCUUUAGCUAAAGCUGAGUCUGGCUGCCUGAAACUUAGGUAAUUGAUGUUUCCAGGUAGUUAGCGACAUCAUCACUACAGAAAAUAAUGAAAGAAAAUCACCUGUGAUCCUGUCCUUCAUCUCUGAUCACUUGCUGAUACUUGAUUUGCUUGUAUCGGCUAUUACAGCAUUCAAUUUAGCUUAUAAUUAGUGUGUUUAAGGCUUUAGACUCUGAAAGUGCAAUUAAUCAUUUUUUUUAUCUUCUUGUGCUUUUUUUAAUUUUUGAUUUAUUUUUCUUGUGAGUCUCACUAUGUUGCCCAAGCUAGCCUGUAAAUUCAAUGAUCCUUCUGUCUCGGCCUCCCAUUGCAGGCUUGAAUUGUCUUUGUGUGAGGAGUCUUCCCAAGGCCGCCUACGUAAUAGCUAAAGCAUGUGCUUUUCCACGGAGCAGUGCCCUAACCAGUUAGCUGUGCUUGUUAUGUGCUGUUGACACUGUGAGCUGUGUGGCGGGUUAUCUUUCUGUGUGUUCUCCAUGUAGGUGUAUCAGAUAGGAUGCACCGCAGUAUGUUUCUCGUGAGGACCACCAGCCCACAAAUAACAACUCGGAGGCUUAUUCUUAAUUAUGUAAGCUCGGCCUUAGCUUAGGCUUGUAUCACUUGCUCUGAUAACUUUAAUUAGUCCGUAUUUUUAUUACUCUACAUUCUACCAUAUGGCUUUUACCUCUCUCCCAUUCUGUUUCCAGCUCGCUCUUCAUCCCCAUUGUCCUGUGUGCCUGUAUUAUCUUCCUCUCUCUGCCCGGAUGGUCUGCCUGUCUCUCCUGCCUAGCUAUUGGCCAUGCAGCUUUUUAUUGUACCAAUCACAGCAGUGCCUCUUCACAGUGUACAAAUGUCUCACGACAAUGCACCAAUAGGAAAAGCUUACCUUCCCGUUGUUGCUAAUAUGCCCUAUACAAAGUAGCAAUCUGUAGCAGUAGUGUUUCCGCAGAGUACAAACUGUGUGGUGGAAAGUCCAAGACAGAAACAUUUUCACCUUGUUCCGUUUCCGGCACAGAUAUUCAGCUGCAAUACGAUGGAGACAAUAGUUUGAAAGAUGCAGCUCUUGAGAUACCAGGACAUGGUACACUUAGCAGGAAGCAUAGAACGUCUUUUAACUAAGAGAAAGGUGUAGCCAGUUAAAGACCAUGUUUGAGUUUCUCAAAGCAAGUUUGAAAACUCAAGCUUCUCAGUUGAGGUUUGGGGGGACGGUUUUAGUAUCUCUUGAUAUGGAACCAUAGACUCUCCUCAUCAUGCAGACUUUAACCCACCAACCAGUUUACCAAGUAGGCAAAGCUGGCUGGCCACCAAGUCCCCGAAAUUACAGGUAUGGGUCACCACACCCAGCCUUUUGACAUGGGAGUUGUAGAGACUGAACUCAGGUUCUUGUAUUUUCAGGGCUGACCAAGCCCUAAGAAACUUCAUAGUGGCAAACUAUGAAAUAAUUUUGAUUCAGUUAAAUAAUUGACAUGCUAAAAAGCUCUGAGUCAUUACUCAAACACACAAAUGGAUUUAACUUUCUCCUUUGAUAACGAUUACCAUUCUUGAUAAUAAGAUAAAUAUAAAUUACAGUCUCAGAAUGGAAAAAACCUGGAAGAUAGUUAAGUCCUGUUCAGCGUAGAAACCUCUGCCCUUUGGCAUCUGAAUUCCUCGUCUAGUGCUUGCCCUUAGGUAUGGCUGGUUUCGGCCAGGCCAGUCCCAGUGCUGAGAUGAAAGUCCACUCCACUGCACAAGAGCAAUCUCUGUGACUUCUGGCUUCUCUCUAGCCCUUCUCAGAAAACGGUGGGAAAACUAUGGGAGGAAAAAUUGGGUUUGUGUUGCUUGUUUUGUGGUUCUGAGGCUCAAACUUGGGGCUUCAUGAAUGCUAGGCCAAUGAAUUAUGUCCGCAGCCCCCAAAAUUGUUCUUUUGUUUUUAAUUAAAAUUUACAAUAAUACAUUUUUGAUCACUUCUCUCCACCAACGCUUCUCAAAUCCUCUCUACUUCCCUGCCACUCAGUUCUGUUCUUGUUCAUCAUUCAUAGUCUCUCUCUGUCUCUCUUUCCCUUUCUAUCUCUAAACAAAAAACAAGACAACCCGG
Molecule: non-coding RNA, 5897 nt
Organism: Myodes glareolus (Bank vole)
Lineage: Eukaryota; Metazoa; Chordata; Mammalia; Rodentia; Cricetidae
Source: RefSeq, a predicted model, not a curated record